RNAcentral lists this long non-coding RNA (1816 nucleotides) under Mytilus galloprovincialis (Mediterranean mussel). The record is from RNAcentral. Lineage: Eukaryota; Metazoa; Mollusca; Bivalvia; Mytilida; Mytilidae.
GAAUCAGACAACUUUAAACUAAUGUAACUUCGUUCAUCCAGCUUUAUAUUGUAUAAAUAAGGUACCAACAGGACGAAGAAAGAAUAUUUAUUUCAGAUGGUGAUAAUUUCAUUUUGACAUGAUUAGUACAUAAUUAAUUAUUAUGUAAUUAGUUGGUAUAGAAAAAAGUAAAAUCACAAAAAUACUGAACUUACAGGAAAAUCAAUUCGGAAAGUCCAUAACAAUAGGGUGAUGUUCACACUUGAAUGAAACAAGUUUCUUUUUUGUCCAUAGCAUCUCAAAAUACUUUAUAGAUUCUUGUUGAUCACAGUUUGACCGUCAAAAGAGUGUCUCGGAUUGUGCCUGUUGUAUGUCAUUCUCUCAUAAACCGUCAAUAAAGUUUGCAACCUCAAUUAAUAAAAACAUACUUAAUUUUAUUGGGUAUACAAUUUAUUCUAUUGAUGUUUUUUAAGAUACAUUGGUCAAGUGUGAAAAUCAAGCAUAUAGGGGCACCCAUCUAGGAGCUAAUUUUAUUUAAAACUACAUUUUCAUGACAAAAUGAAUGUGUCACAAUUGAAUAAAUAUGUAUUUUCCUAUUAACUUCAAUAAUAUUCACACAUUUACCAUGUGGAUACUUCAGGAUUAGCCUUUAAUCACUAAUCACUUAGGUGUUGACCAGUAAAAUAAAUAAAGAAAAUGCCCCUCUAUGCAUCAGAAAUCAUAUUUGGCGGAAAAUGUUAAAUCGUUAUUGACCUUGCUGUAUGUCACAACUCCGCCCACCAUGAAACUAUUAAGGAUAUCAGAAGUUUAUUUACACAUUGCAUUUACUGUUUUCAAUAUGGAUUUUAUUCAUUUAGUAAAUAAAAUAAUAUAUUUUGUUUUUCUUUAUAGUUACAUUUUUUUUUUUUCAUUUUUGCAGUUGGAAAAUGAAAUAUUUAAUUUGUAUUUUCUUUUAGAAAUAAUGUAUAUUUAAAUAUUCUCCCAUAGAAACUCUAGAAUAAACAUCAGAAACAUUAAUUGUUGUACAAAUACAUUUGAUUAGUAUCGAUACAUCUAAAUUUUAAAUCCCGCUUAUUUUCGAAAUUGUUGUGUUUUUUUUCUUUUGCCAGCUCCAAUAUAGAAUGUAUUUUUAUUUGGAAUUCAGUAUUUUCAUUUUUUCAUUAAUCCCUGAUCCACCUCUUUCUCAAAACUGUUAUUUCUAUUGAUGGUCAGUAGUCGUAAAGCUAUCAAAUGAUUCUAUUGAGUAACCACAAAGUACUGCCGACAUGUUCUUAACUUGUAUCAGCAAGAUAUGUGCAUUUGCUUAAAACACUUAUUAUCAUCAAAACUCAUUAACAGUUAUAGAUAUGUAAAUAUAUUUGUCUUCUAAUGUUUUGUUAUAUUAAGAAGUAUAACAAAAAAAAGCUGUAGAUGAAAUUUUGAUUAAAAAAAUGUGCUUUUGUAUUGUGCUACCUUAAAUGCACACUAAAGACAUUAUUUAUGUGUUUGGGAAUUGACUAUAAGAAUCUAUAAAAAAAAAAACACAUAACAAAAAUUAUAAUAAAUGCAAAUAAAUCCAUUCAAUGGUUUACUUACAAAGCAUCCGUGUAAGACUCAUAUCAUAUUGAUGAAAUCCAGUCAAUGGUUUACUUAUAAAGCAUCCAUGUAGGACUCAUAUCAUACUGAUGAAAUCCAGUCAAUGGUGUACUUAUAAAGCAUCCAUGUAAGACUCAUAAUGUUUAUGAAAUCAUCAAAUAUUUGUUCUAAUAGAUAAAAAUUGCACAAAGUAAGGUAAAGGCCAAGAAAAAAAAUAAAAAUUUAAUUGCCAUAUGAUAAAAACACUUGUUGAAGAUUAUUU